CGGCGUGCUUAACACAUGCAAGUCGAACGAGAAUCACCGGAAGGAGUUUUCGGACAACGGAAGGUGAGGACAGUGGCGGACGGGUGAGUAACGCGUGAGGAACCUGCCUUUCAGAGGGGGACAACAGUUGGAAACGACUGCUAAUACCGCAUAACGCAUAGGUAUCGCAUGGUACUUAUGCCAAAGAUUUAUCGCUGAAAGAUGGCCUCGCGUCUGAUUAGCUGGUUGGUGAGGUAACGGCCCACCAAGGCGACGAUCAGUAGCCGGACUGAGAGGUUGACCGGCCACAUUGGGACUGAGAUACGGCCCAGACUCCUACGGGAGGCAGCAGUGGGGAAUAUUGGGCAAUGGGCGCAAGCCUGACCCAGCAACGCCGCGUGAAGGAAGAAGGCUUUCGGGUUGUAAACUUCUUUUGGCAGGGAAGAGGAGAAGACGGUACCUGCCGAAUAAGCCACGGCUAACUACGUGCCAGCAGCCGCGGUAAUACGUAGGUGGCAAGCGUUGUCCGGAUUUACUGGGUGUAAAGGGCGUGUAGCCGGGUUGGUAAGUCAGAUGUGAAAUGCACGGGCUUAACUCGUGAACUGCAUUUGAAACU
This 595-nucleotide ribosomal RNA is filed under the name uncultured rumen bacterium. RNAcentral's name for it is "bacterial SSU rRNA". It matches the Rfam family "Bacterial small subunit ribosomal RNA", at positions 40 to 634 of the family's 1533-position model. The record is from RNAcentral.